AAGUCGUAACAAGGUUUCCGUAGGUGAACCUGCGGAAGGAUCAUUGAUGAAUACGGCCUCGGGAUGGCCCUAAACCCGACACACCCACACCUGUGAACCUGGCGUCCCUCGGGGCGUCGAAAACCUUUACACCGUAGUGUCAGUCAUGAACGUGAAACAGAAAUCAAACACAA
This 173-nucleotide unclassified non-coding RNA is filed under the name plant metagenome. RNAcentral's name for it is "partial contains small subunit ribosomal RNA and internal transcribed spacer 1". The stretch from base 1 to 46 matches the Rfam family "Eukaryotic small subunit ribosomal RNA", at positions 1786 to 1831 of the family's 1831-position model. The record is from RNAcentral.